ACGGGAGGCAGCAGUGGGGGAUAUUGCACAAUGGAGGAAACUCUGAUGCAGCAACGCCGCGUGAGGGAAGAAGGUUUUCGGAUUGUAAACCUCUGUUUUUAGUGAAGAAACAAAUGACGGUAGCUAAAGAGGAAGCCACGGCUAACUACGUGCCAGCAGCCGCGGUAAUACGUAGGUGGCAAGCGUUAUCCGGAUUUACUGGGUGUAAAGGGCGCGUAGGCGGGGAUGCAAGUCAGAUGUGAAAUCUAUGGGCUUAACUCAUAAACUGCAUUUGAAACUGUAUCUCUUGAGUGCUGGAGAGGUAGAUGGAAUUCCUUGUGUAGCGGUGAAAUGCGUAGAUAUAAGGAAGAACACCAGUGGCGAAGGCGAUCUACUGGACAGUAACUGACGCUGAGGCGCGAAAGCGUGGGGAGCAAACAGGAUUAGAUACCCUGGUA
The sequence is a ribosomal RNA, 437 nucleotides long. It matches the Rfam family "Bacterial small subunit ribosomal RNA", at positions 341 to 792 of the family's 1533-position model.